UUAAGCGACUAAGCGUACACGGUGGAUGCCCUGGCAGUCAGAGGCGAUGAAGGACGUGCUAAUCUGCGAUAAGCGUCGGUAAGGUGAUAUGAACCGUUAUAACCGGCGAUUUCCGAAUGGGGAAACCCAGUGUGUUUCGACACACUAUCAUUAACUGAAUCCAUAGGUUAAUGAGGCGAACCGGGGGAACUGAAACAUCUAAGUACCCCGAGGAAAAGAAAUCAACCGAGAUUCCCCCAGUAGCGGCGAGCGAACGGGGAGCAGCCCAGAGCCUGAAUCAGUAUGUGUGUUAGUGGAAGCGUCUGGAAAGGCGCGCGAUACAGGGUGACAGCCCCGUACACAAAAAUGCACAUGCUGUGAGCUCGAUGAGUAGGGCGGGACACGUGGUAUCCUGUCUGAAUAUGGGGGGACCAUCCUCCAAGGCUAAAUACUCCUGACUGACCGAUAGUGAACCAGUACCGUGAGGGAAAGGCGAAAAGAACCCCGGCGAGGGGAGUGAAAAAGAACCUGAAACCGUGUACGUACAAGCAGUGGGAGCACGCUUAGGCGUGUGACUGCGUACCUUUUGUAUAAUGGGUCAGCGACUUAUAUUCUGUAGCAAGGUUAACCGAAUAGGGGAGCCGAAGGGAAACCGAGUCUUAACUGGGCGUUAAGUUGCAGGGUAUAGACCCGAAACCCGGUGAUCUAGCCAUGGGCAGGUUGAAGGUUGGGUAACACUAACUGGAGGACCGAACCGACUAAUGUUGAAAAAUUAGCGGAUGACUUGUGGCUGGGGGUGAAAGGCCAAUCAAACCGGGAGAUAGCUGGUUCUCCCCGAAAGCUAUUUAGGUAGCGCCUCGUGAAUUCAUCUCCGGGGGUAGAGCACUGUUUCGGCAAGGGGGUCAUCCCGACUUACCAACCCGAUGCAAACUGCGAAUACCGGAGAAUGUUAUCACGGGAGACACACGGCGGGUGCUAACGUCCGUCGUGAAGAGGGAAACAACCCAGACCGCCAGCUAAGGUCCCAAAGUCAUGGUUAAGUGGGAAACGAUGUGGGAAGGCCCAGACAGCCAGGAUGUUGGCUUAGAAGCAGCCAUCAUUUAAAGAAAGCGUAAUAGCUCACUGGUCGAGUCGGCCUGCGCGGAAGAUGUAACGGGGCUAAACCAUGCACCGAAGCUGCGGCAGCGACGCUUAUGCGUUGUUGGGUAGGGGAGCGUUCUGUAAGCCUGUGAAGGUGUGCUGUGAGGCAUGCUGGAGGUAUCAGAAGUGCGAAUGCUGACAUAAGUAACGAUAAAGCGGGUGAAAAGCCCGCUCGCCGGAAGACCAAGGGUUCCUGUCCAACGUUAAUCGGGGCAGGGUGAGUCGACCCCUAAGGCGAGGCCGAAAGGCGUAGUCGAUGGGAAACAGGUUAAUAUUCCUGUACUUGGUGUUACUGCGAAGGGGGGACGGAGAAGGCUAUGUUGGCCGGGCGACGGUUGUCCCGGUUUAAGCGUGUAGGCUGGUUUUCCAGGCAAAUCCGGAAAAUCAAGGCUGAGGCGUGAUGACGAGGCACUACGGUGCUGAAGCAACAAAUGCCCUGCUUCCAGGAAAAGCCUCUAAGCAUCAGGUAACAUCAAAUCGUACCCCAAACCGACACAGGUGGUCAGGUAGAGAAUACCAAGGCGCUUGAGAGAACUCGGGUGAAGGAACUAGGCAAAAUGGUGCCGUAACUUCGGGAGAAGGCACGCUGAUAUGUAGGUGAAGUCCCUCGCGGAUGGAGCUGAAAUCAGUCGAAGAUACCAGCUGGCUGCAACUGUUUAUUAAAAACACAGCACUGUGCAAACACGAAAGUGGACGUAUACGGUGUGACGCCUGCCCGGUGCCGGAAGGUUAAUUGAUGGGGUCAGCGCAAGCGAAGCUCUUGAUCGAAGCCCCGGUAAACGGCGGCCGUAACUAUAACGGUCCUAAGGUAGCGAAAUUCCUUGUCGGGUAAGUUCCGACCUGCACGAAUGGCGUAAUGAUGGCCAGGCUGUCUCCACCCGAGACUCAGUGAAAUUGAACUCGCUGUGAAGAUGCAGUGUACCCGCGGCAAGACGGAAAGACCCCGUGAACCUUUACUAUAGCUUGACACUGAACAUUGAGCCUUGAUGUGUAGGAUAGGUGGGAGGCUUUGAAGUGUGGACGCCAGUCUGCAUGGAGCCGACCUUGAAAUACCACCCUUUAAUGUUUGAUGUUCUAACGUUGACCCGUGAUCCGGGUUGCGGACAGUGUCUGGUGGGUAGUUUGACUGGGGCGGUCUCCUCCUAAAGAGUAACGGAGGAGCACGAAGGUUGGCUAAUCCUGGUCGGACAUCAGGAGGUUAGUGCAAUGGCAUAAGCCAGCUUGACUGCGAGCGUGACGGCGCGAGCAGGUGCGAAAGCAGGUCAUAGUGAUCCGGUGGUUCUGAAUGGAAGGGCCAUCGCUCAACGGAUAAAAGGUACUCCGGGGAUAACAGGCUGAUACCGCCCAAGAGUUCAUAUCGACGGCGGUGUUUGGCACCUCGAUGUCGGCUCAUCACAUCCUGGGGCUGAAGUAGGUCCCAAGGGUAUGGCUGUUCGCCAUUUAAAGUGGUACGCGAGCUGGGUUUAGAACGUCGUGAGACAGUUCGGUCCCUAUCUGCCGUGGGCGCUGGAGAACUGAGGGGGGCUGCUCCUAGUACGAGAGGACCGGAGUGGACGCAUCACUGGUGUUCGGGUUGUCAUGCCAAUGGCACUGCCCGGUAGCUAAAUGCGGAAGAGAUAAGUGCUGAAAGCAUCUAAGCACGAAACUUGCCCCGAGAUGAGUUCUCCCUGACUCCUUGAGAGUCCUGAAGGAACGUUGAAGACGACGACGUUGAUAGGCCGGGUGUGUAAGCGCAGCGAUGCGUUGAGCUAACCGGUACUAAUGAACCGUGAGGCUUAACCUU
Molecule: ribosomal RNA, 2902 nt
Filed under: Escherichia coli
Lineage: Bacteria; Pseudomonadati; Pseudomonadota; Gammaproteobacteria; Enterobacterales; Enterobacteriaceae
Description: bacterial LSU rRNA
Rfam family: Bacterial large subunit ribosomal RNA
Source: RNAcentral